AAAGCGCACGUAGGCGGCUUUGUAAGUAAGAGGUGAAAGCCCGGGGCUCAACCCCGGAAUUGCCUUUUAGACUGCAUCGCUUGAAUCAUGGAGAGGUCAGUGGAAUUCCGAGUGUAGAGGUGAAAUUCGUAGAUAUUCGGAAGAACACCAGUGGCGAAGGCGGCUGACUGGACAUGUAUUGACGCUGAGGUGCGAAAGCGUGGGGAGCAAACAGGAUUAGAUACCCGUGU
This 230-nucleotide ribosomal RNA is filed under the name uncultured bacterium. RNAcentral's name for it is "partial 16S ribosomal RNA". It matches the Rfam family "Bacterial small subunit ribosomal RNA", at positions 562 to 791 of the family's 1533-position model. The record is from RNAcentral.